RNAcentral lists this long non-coding RNA (1226 nucleotides) under Sinocyclocheilus anshuiensis. RNAcentral describes it as "lncRNA (ENSSANG00000018986.1)". The record is from RNAcentral. Lineage: Eukaryota; Metazoa; Chordata; Actinopteri; Cypriniformes; Cyprinidae.
CUCGAGACGAGUCUCCACGCCCCGCCCACAGCACAACACAACAGAAGAACCCACCCUAAACAACAACAACACUGUCCUCCGGUAGAGAAAGAAGACGUUCAAGACACGGCCUCCCCUGACACUUUCUCUGGACACCAGAAGAGGCUUUACACGUGAGAAGAUGCAUUCAGGCAACCUUGAGAAAGUGGGUUCGCUGAGGAAACGGACGCUGUCUCGAGGAAUGAGCGAAGACGAGUCUCUAAGGCACAUUAUCAGAGACGCAGAAGAAUCGAGCAGACACCUGUCACGCAGCGAUAGCAGAUAUGGAUCAUUAAAAAGAGGACAAAGACAAGAAAGCCAUAGUGAAGAUGAUCUACUUUCUGAAAACAUAGAAAUGAUGGAGCUGAGAGCGAGCUACGAGGGUUGUCUGCAGGAGGUGCGGACCCUGGAGCUGCAGCAGGAGGCUCUUCUGUUCCAGGUGGACUGUCUUCAGGACACCCUCGAGGGCACAGAGGAGAUGCUCGCUGAGACCCAGAGAGACAAUCACAAUCUCACAAUGGAGCUGGAGCGAGAACGAGAGAUGAGGAGGAAGUCGGAGGACAUGCUUGCCUCAUUAAAGCGGGAGCUGGAGAGGUUAAGAGAGGAAAGAAGCAGCGAGCCGCUUCAGUCGAGGCCGGCGGGGCCCGUCUGGUUCCAGGCCACUCCGGAGGGGACGUCAGUGGACCGAGACGAACAGACGCUCGCACACAGCGAAGGCACCUCCGUGGAUCUGAACGUGAGCCAGCUGUUACAGCUGAAGAAAGCGGUCAGCCAGACACUGAGUCCAUCAGUGUUUCACAGUCAGAAGCCUGGUGCUCAGGGUGGAGAUGAUAACGACGAAAGCAGCGGCUAUGAAGACGCUCCGUCCGAGUUCUCGCCGAGUCCGUCCACUCCAGACACGCAGCCGGAUGGAGCUCUGCAGGACAGCGAGGCUGAAGAGGGAGGAGGUGGCAUGAGUGACUCCGAGUCCGGCCUCUCUAAAAGUUCCGAUUCUUGUGCUCUCUCUUAAAUUAUUCUAGUGUUGUAAAACGAUUAAUCGCGAUUAAUCGCAUCCAAAAUAAAAGUUUUUGUUUACAUAAUAUAUAUGUGUGUAUUGUGUAUAUAUAUAUAUAUAUAUAUAUUAUUUAUAUUCUAAUACACACAUAUGCAUGUAUUACAUGUAUUUACAUGUAUACAUUUAUAUUCAUAUCAUUUAUAUUAUAUAAAUA